GAUGAAGAACGUAGCGAAAUGCGAUAAGUAAUGUGAAUUGCAGAAUUCAGUGAAUCAUCGAAUCUUUGAACGCACAUUGCGCCCCUUGGUAUUCCGAGGGGCAUGCCUGUUCGAGCGUCAUUAUAACCCCUCAAGCUCAGCUUGGUGUUGGGGCCUGCUGCACUGGCAGCCCUUAAAUUCAGUGGCGGCGCCAUCUGGCUCUAAGCGUAGUAAUUCUUCUCGCUAUGGAGUCCUGGUGGAUGCUUGCCAUCAACCCCCAAUUUUUCUAUGGUUGACCUCGGAUCAGGUAGGGAUACCCGCUGAACUUAAGCAUAUCAAUAAGCGGAGGA
RNAcentral lists this unclassified non-coding RNA (329 nucleotides) under soil metagenome. Its description in RNAcentral is "partial contains 5.8S ribosomal RNA, internal transcribed spacer 2, and large subunit ribosomal RNA". The stretch from base 1 to 120 matches the Rfam family "5.8S ribosomal RNA", at positions 35 to 154 of the family's 154-position model. The record is from RNAcentral.